RNAcentral lists this ribosomal RNA (301 nucleotides) under uncultured bacterium. RNAcentral describes it as "partial 16S ribosomal RNA". It matches the Rfam family "Bacterial small subunit ribosomal RNA", at positions 509 to 807 of the family's 1533-position model. The record is from RNAcentral.
CAGCCGCCACGGGAAUACGUAGGUGGCAAGCGUUGUACGGAAUUAUUGGGCGUAAAGGGCUCGCAGGCGGUUUCUUAAGUCUGAUGUGAAAGCCCCCGGCUCAACCCGGGAGGGUCAUUGGAAACUGGGAAACUUGAGUGCAGAAGAGGAGAGUGGAAUUCCACGUGUAGCGGUGAAAUGCGUAGAGAUGUGGAGGAACACCAGUGGCGAAGGCGACUCUCUGGUCUGUAACUGACGCUGAGGAGCGAAAGCGUGGGGAGCGAACAGGAUUAGAUACCCCCGUAGUCCCUGUCUCUUAUAC